This 1451-nucleotide ribosomal RNA is filed under the name uncultured organism. RNAcentral describes it as "16S ribosomal RNA". It matches the Rfam family "Bacterial small subunit ribosomal RNA". The record is from RNAcentral.
UAAUACAUGCAAGUAGAACGCUGAAGAGAGGAUUUUGCUCUUCUUGGAUGAGUUGCGAACGGGUGAGUAACGCGUAGGUAACCUGCCUUGUAGCGGGGGAUAACUAUUGGAAACGAUAGCUAAUACCGCAUAACAAUGGAUGACACAUGUCAUUUAUUUGAAAGGGGCAAAUGCUCCACUACAAGAUGGACCUGCGUUGUAUUAGCUAGUAGGUGAGGUAACGGCUCACCUAGGCGACGAUACAUAGCCGACCUGAGAGGGUGAUCGGCCACACUGGGACUGAGACACGGCCCAGACUCCUACGGGAGGCAGCAGUAGGGAAUCUUCGGCAAUGGGGGCAACCCUGACCGAGCAACGCCGCGUGAGUGAAGAAGGUUUUCGGAUCGUAAAGCUCUGUUGUAAGUCAAGAACGAGUGUGAGAGUGGAAAGUUCACACUGUGACGGUAGCUUACCAGAAAGGGACGGCUAACUACGUGCCAGCAGCCGCGGUAAUACGUAGGUCCCGAGCGUUGUCCGGAUUUAUUGGGCGUAAAGCGAGCGCAGGCGGUUUGAUAAGUCUGAAGUUAAAGGCUGUGGCUCAACCAUAGUUCGCUUUGGAAACUGUCAAACUUGAGUGCAGAAGGGGAGAGUGGAAUUCCAUGUGUAGCGGUGAAAUGCGUAGAUAUAUGGAGGAACACCGGUGGCGAAAGCGGCUCUCUGGUCUGUAACUGACGCUGAGGCUCGAAAGCGUGGGGAGCGAACAGGAUUAGAUACCCUGGUAGUCCACGCCGUAAACGAUGAGUGCUAGGUGUUGGAUCCUUUCCGGGAUUCAGUGCCGCAGCUAACGCAUUAAGCACUCCGCCUGGGGAGUACGACCGCAAGGUUGAAACUCAAAGGAAUUGACGGGGGCCCGCACAAGCGGUGGAGCAUGUGGUUUAAUUCGAAGCAACGCGAAGAACCUUACCAGGUCUUGACAUCCCGAUGCUAUUUCUAGAGAUAGAAAGUUACUUCGGUACAUCGGUGACAGGUGGUGCAUGGUUGUCGUCAGCUCGUGUCGUGAGAUGUUGGGUUAAGUCCCGCAACGAGCGCGACCCCUAUUGUUAGUUGCCAUCAUUCAGUUGGGCACUCUAGCGAGACUGCCGGUAAUAAACCGGAGGAAGGUGGGGAUGACGUCAAAUCAUCAUGCCCCUUAUGACCUGGGCUACACACGUGCUACAAUGGUUGGUACAACGAGUUGCGAGUCGGUGACGGCAAGCUAAUCUCUUAAAGCCAAUCUCAGUUCGGAUUGUAGGCUGCAACUCGCCUACAUGAAGUCGGAAUCGCUAGUAAUCGCGGAUCAGCACGCCGCGGUGAAUACGUUCCCGGGCCUUGUACACACCGCCCGUCACACCACGAGAGUUUGUAACACCCGAAGUCGGUGAGGUAACCUUUUGGAGCCAGCCGCCUAAGGUGGGAUAGAUGAUUGGGGUGAA